This is a non-coding RNA of Callithrix jacchus (white-tufted-ear marmoset), 8323 nucleotides long. The record is from RefSeq and is a predicted model, not a curated record. Lineage: Eukaryota; Metazoa; Chordata; Mammalia; Primates; Cebidae.
AUGGCCAGGUGGCUGGGAUUCCCCCGCCUCGCCCCAGAUCCCCGGGAGGCCAGCACGGCCCUCCCAUGGGUGUCACAGAGACAGAUGCGAUGCGGGUCCCUCUCCCUGGGAAGCGGCGGGCUGGGUCCAGUCCGCAGGGCCCCUCCGGGCGCUGACCUCGGAUGGAGUUGAGGUGCUGCGGCGCUGGACCCCAGGGCCCCUGCCUGCCUCCUGGGGAGCCGGGUGACCCAGGCAGCCCCGGUGAGGCCCCCGGGCUCCCACAGGACGGAUGCGGACAGGGAAGCCGGGGAGGCCUCCCUGCUGGACUGUCCCUGCAGCCCCAGCUUUCCGUGGUUCUAAGGGCCCCCUCUGCAGAGGGACCAGGGAGCCCGCCCUGCAUCCUGAGGCGCCGCGCUCGAGGGACCCCACAGCUCCGGCCGGGCCGCUUCCUUUGCGGAUCGUGAAGCUGAGGUCCAGAGGAGGGCAGGGGCAGGCCCUGGAAGCUCCCCAGGCAAAGGGAGCCGAUCUCGGGGCUGGGGUCACAGGGCUCCACUCCUGUGAUCUCUAGGGACCUAGAGCCGGGAGGAGAGACUGGGGGGCCUUUCGUCCACCGCUGGGGCUGGGCAGAGGCUCAUCCUGGGCCGCAACGCGAAGCUGCUCCUGUGCAGUCCGAGCCGCGGCCCCUUUAAGAAGGGGUGGUGCUUCAGCCAGUCGCUAGGGACGCUGCGGGCGUGCGCGCCUCUACGGAAGCCGAGACGGCGCUUUCCGCGGGGCCCGGGCAGAAGCCGCGGCGUGGUUGAAGCGAACAGUAGCGGCGGCGAUGUGGUCGGAGCGAGCGAAAGCGGCGGCCAGAGUCUGGGGCGUCGUCCUAGUGGGCAGAAGCGCAGUCGACGUCCCAGCGAGCAGAAGCGACCGCGCGGUCCCAGCCGGCAAAAGCGGAGGCCGCGUCCCAGCGAACAGAAGUGGCGGCGUCCAGAAGCGGCGAGCUUCGGAGAAGCCGUGGUGGCUUCCAUGUGAUGGAGGAGCAGGAGGGACGCUUCCGCGGUUCAUCUGGGUUGCUCCACAUGACACUGUUUCAUCGUUUCGGUGGCCGAAGAAUAUUCCCUAGUGUAUGCAUAUGAGAGUGUCUAGAUCCCUUUAUCUGUGGAUGGACAGGAGGUGAAGAUGUUUUCAGUCUGCAUGCCUGGGAUCGUGUGGAAUAGGACUUUCUCUACCAGGCUCAUUCGUUGGACCUGAUGUUCUCCAGGUUUCUUCAUGUGGCUGCAGAUGGCAGGAUUCCCAGAGCUUUAUGGCUGGAACAUACUCCAUGAUGUAUGUGAACAGCAGUUUCUUCAUCCCUGCAGCUGCGGGUGGACAGGUCAUACAUGAUGUCCUCCAAGUUCAACAGCGUGGCUCCAAAUGAUGACAUUUCAUUCCGGUUUUCUAGCUGAAGACGAUUCUAUUUGUGCACAUACACCAGGUAUCCCUUCAUGUGUGGAUGGGCAGGUUUUUCCACGUGUCCGCAAGUGACGAGAUUUCACCCAUUUCUACGAUUAAAGAAUAUUCUGCUCUGGAUGUAUAUUGCAGUUUCUUCAUCCCUUCACAAUGGAAGAACAGCGUUUCACCAGGUUGGCCAGACUGGUCCCGGACUCUCAACCUCAGGUGAUCCACCCACCUGGACUUCCCAAAGUGCUGGGAUUACAGGUGUGAGUUACCACAUCUAAUGUAAUUUUUCAAACAAUGGAAAAAUUUGUGAUUUUUUAAAAGUUCUCCUGUUAAUUAAUUUAAUGUGACUAGAUAUGAUGCUUUGUAUACUUUCUGUCUUUAAAGUUGAUUAAUCCUUCUCUUCUGGGCUAAUAUAUUGUCCAUCCUUGAGAAUGUUCCAUGUGCACUUGAGAAAAAUGUGUGUUCUUCUGCUGUUGGGUGCAGUGUCCUGUGUAUGUCUGCUAGGUCCAAUCGGUUGAUGGUGUUUCGUUUAUUUUCUUAAUGAUCUUCAGUCUAGUUUUCUACUCAUUGUUAAAAGUGGCAUAUGAGGGCUGGGUGUGUUGGUUCAUGCCUGUAAUCCUAGCACUUUGGGAGGCCAAGGUGGGCAGAUCACCUGAGGUCGGGAGGUCGAGACCAGCCUGGCCAACAAGGUGAAACCCUAUCUUUAGUAAAAAUAAAAAAAACAGCCAGGCAUGGUGGCAGGCACCUGUAAUCCCAGCUACCUGGGAGGCUGAGACAGGAGAAUCACUUGAACCUGGGAGGCAGAGGUUGCAGUGAGCCAAGAUCACACCAUUACACUCCAGCCUGGGCAACAGAGUGAGACUCUGUCUCAAAAAAAAAAAAGUGGAAUAUUAAGGUCUCCAACUCUUUUUGUAGAACUGUGUUUCUUCCUUAAAUGUUGUCAGUUUGCUUGAUGCAUUUUAGGGCUGGGAAGUUUAUGACAUAUGUUUAUGAUGAUCAUGUUUUCUUGGGGAAUUGGCCCUUCUAUUAAUUUAAUAUCCUUACCUUUUGCAAUUUUUUUUGACAUAAAGUUUAUUUUGUCUGAUAUUAGUAUAACAACCCAAGCUCUCUCUUGGUUACUAUUUGUGGCGAAUAUAUUUUCCAUCCUUUAACUUUCAGUGUUUAAAUUAUUUGUAGAGAUGGAGUCUCUUUAUGUUUCCCAGGCUGUUCUUGAACUCCUGGCCCAAGUGAUCUUCUUGCCGUGGCCUCCCAAAGUGUUGGGAUUACAGGUGUGAGCCACUGCGGUUAGUCCAAUUCAGUGAUUUUUAGUAUAUUUAGUAUAUUUACAGAAUUAUGUAACAAUCACCAAAAUCUAGCUUAAGGACAUUUCAUCAUCCCAGAAAGAAACUCGUGCUUAUCAGAGUCACUUUUCAGUCUCAUUCCCAGCCCUAGUCAACCAGUAAGCUGCUUUCUAUCCCUGUAUUAGGCUGUUCUGGACCUUUCAUAUAAACGAAAUCAUGCGACGUGUGUUCUUUUGCAUCUGGCUUCUUUCCCGAAGCCUUGCGUUGCUGAGGUUGAUCACUGUGGUAGCAUGCCUCAGAACUCAUUUUUGAUUGCUGAAUAGUAUUCCGUUGUAUUCCCCACAUUUGAAUUCCUUCGUCAGUUGAUGGGCAUUUGGCUUGUCUCCACUUUUUGGUUCUUGUGAGUGGUGUUGUGAACAUUCACCCACAAGUCUUUGCGUGAACAUACAUUUUCAUUGUUCCUGGUUAGAUACCUAGAAGUAAAGUUGCUGACUUUAAGGCAAUUUGACUUUAUUUUAUAUUAUUAUUAUUUUUGUCCUGAGCCCCUUGCAGUUCUGCUAGAGAAGGUGAUUUUAUUUUUCACAUUUAGAGAAACUGUCAUACUAUCUUCCAAAAAUGUGGCUGUACCAUUUUACAUUCCCACUGGCAGUGUAUGAGGGCUCUGGUCUCCACGUCCUCUCCAGCACUUGGUGUCACGCGUCUGCUAGAUUGUAGUUAUUCUAGUGGGUGGAAAGAGACAUCGCGUUUUGGAUUAAUUUGCAUUUUCCUAGUGACUGACGAUGCUGAACGCUUUAUAAUGUGCUUAUUGGACAUUAAAAUAUUAUCUUUGGAGAAAUGUUUCUUCAUGUUCUUUUCCCAUUUUUAAGUUGGACUGUCUUUUAAUAUUGAGUUGUAAGAGUUCUUGUGGAUAUAUCAGUUAUUAGACAUAAGAUUUAUAAAUCUUUUCUCCCAUUCUGCGGCUGUCUUCCCCUUUCUUGAUUGUAUCUUUUGCUGUACCAAAGGUUUAAAUUCAGCUGAUGCUCAAUUUUUUAUUUUCUUGCUUUUUCCCUUUCCUCCUUUUCCAGGUCUCACUAGGUGGCCCUGACUGAUCUUCAACUGUGCUUUUGAUGAUGUUUCUAAGACAUCAGUGCCUUACACAAGAUCACAAGAAUUUACUCUUACGUUUUCUAAGAGUUUCAUUGUUUUCAGUUUUACAUUUAGGUCUGUGAUCCCUUUUCAGUUAAUUUUUGUGUAUGGUGUUAGGCAGGGACCCAAAUUAAUUUAUUUGUACAUGAAUAUCCAGUUGCCUCACCACCGUUUGUUGAGAAGUCUAUUCGUGGUUGGAAACUGGUUCAUGACUGUCAUCCCAGCACUUUGGGAGGCCAAGGCUGGAGUAUUGCUUGAGGAGUUUAAGGCUACCAUCUGCCUAAUUCUCCCCAUAAUUUCUCCAACAUCUGCCUAAAAAUUGUUGCAUUUGCGAUGACACGGAUGAAACUGGACGACAUGAUGGUAAGUAAAAUAAGCAGAGCACCGAAAGACAAACCCUGCAUGAUGUUAUUCAUGUGUGGAUCCUUAAAAAGUUGAACUCUGCUUGGGAACUGAUUCAUUAAAGAAAAUGGAAAGAAAGAAAAAAAAAGAAAAAAUGUUGAACUCAUAGAAGCAGAGAGUAGAAUGGUGGUUACCCCGGGCUGGGUGUGGGGGAAGAAUUAGGCAGAUGUUGGAGAAAUUCUGGGGAGAAUUAGGCAGAUGGUAGCCUUAAACUCCUGGACUCAAGCAAUACUCCAGCCUUGGCCUCCCACCACUGUUUCCAACCAUGAAUAGACUUUUCAACAAACGGUGGUGAGGCAACUGGAUAUUCAUGUACAAAUAAAUUAAUUUGGGUCCCUGCCUAACACCAUACACAAAAAUUAACUGAAAAGGGAUCACAGACCUAAAUGUAAAACUAAAAACAAUGAGACUCUUAGAAAACGUAAGAGUAAAUUCUUGUGAUCUUGUGUAAGGCACUGAUGUCUUAGAAACAUCAUCAAAAGCACAGUUGAAGAUCAGUCAGGGCCACCUAGUGAGACCUGGAAAAGGAGGAAAGGGAAAAAGCAAGAAAAUAAAAAAUUGAGCAUCAGCUGAAUUUAAACCUUUGGCACAGCAAAAGAUACAAUCAAGAAAGGGGAAGACAGCCACAGAAUGGGAGAAAAGAUUUAUAAAUCUUAUGUCUAAUAACCGAUAUAUCCAGAAGAACUCUUACAACUAAAUAUUAAAAGACAGUCCAACUUAAAAAUGGGAAAAGAACAUGAAGAAAUAUUUCUCCAAAGAUAAUAUUUUAAUGUCCAAUAAGCACAUUAUAAAGUGUUCAACAUCGUCAGUCACUCGGAAAAUGCAAAUUAAUCCAAAACGCGAUGUCUCUUUCCACCCACUAGAAUAACUACAAUCUAGCAGACGCGUGACACCAAGUGCUGGAGAGGACGUGGAGACCAGAGCCCUCAUACACUGCCAGUGGGAAUGUAAAAUGGUACAGCCACAUUUUUGGAAGAUAGUAUGACAGUUUCUCUAAAUGUGAAAAAUAAAAUCACCUUCUCUAGCAGAACUGCAAGGGGCUCAGGACAAAAAUAAUAAUAAAAUAAAAUAAAGUCAAAUUGCCUUAAAGUCAGCAACUUUACUUCUAGGUAUCUAACCAGGAACAAUGAAAAUGUAUGUUCACGCAAAGACUUGUGGGUGAAUGUUCACAACACCACUCACAAGAACCAAAAAGUGGAGACAAGCCAAAUGCCCAUCAACUGACGAAGGAAUUCAAAUGUGGGGAAUACAACGGAAUACUAUUCAGCAAUCAAAAAUGAGUUCUGAGGCAUGCUACCACAGUGAUCAACCUCAGCAACGCAAGGCUUCGGGAAAGAAGCCAGAUGCAAAAGAACACACGUCGCAUGAUUUCGUUUAUAUGAAAGGUCCAGAACAGCCUAAUAUAGAGAUAGAAAGCAGCUUACUGGUUGACUAGGGCUGGGAAUGAGAUCGAAAAGUGACUCUGAUGGGCAUGAGUUUCUUUCUGGGAUGAUGAAAUGUCCUUAAGCUAGAUUUUGGUGAUUGUUACAUAAUUCUGUAAAUAUACUAAAUAUACUAAAAAUCAUUGAAUUGGACUAACCGCAGUGGCUCACACCUGUAAUCCCAACACUUUGGGAGGCCAUGGCAAGAAGAUCACUUGGGCCAGGAGUUCAAGAACAGCCUGGGAAACAUCUCUGCAAAUAAUUUAAACGCUUUAACAGGUGUAGUGGUACAAGCCUGUAGUCUCAGGUACUCAGGGAGCUGAGGCAGGAGCAUCGCCUGAUCCCAAGAGGUUGAGGCUGCCGUGAGCCAUGAUGGCAGCACUGCAUUCUAGCCUUGGUAUCAGAGUGAUAACCCUGUCUCUCUCUCUCUCUCUCUCUCUCUUUCUCACAUGCACAAACAUUGUACACUUAAAAUUGGUAGAUUUUAGUUUGUGAAUUACACCUCUAUAAAGCUGUUAAUUUUUAAAUUAUUUUUAAUUUUUUUUUUUCUUUUUUUGAGACAGAGUUUAGCUGUUUUUACCUAGGCUGGAGUGCAAUGACGCAAUCUCAGCUCACCACAACCUCCACCUCUCAGGUUCAAGUGAUUUUCCUGCCUCAGCCUCCCAAGUAGCUGGGAUUCCAGGCUCCCGCUAUGAUGCCUGGCUAAUUUUUUGUAUUUUUAGUACAGAUGGGGUUUCAUUAUGUUGUUUAGGCUGGUCUGAAAGUCGUGACCUCAGGUGAUCCACCCAUCUCGGCCUCCCAAAGUGCUAGGAUUACAGACACGAGCCAGGCCGUUUUUUAAGUUCUAAAAUUAUACUAUUUACCCCUAGCACCAAGAUUGUAGUCUCAAAAUACCAUUGCCCAAUGAAAGGAAACAAGGCUUCCUGGACAAAAUGCUGAUUCCAGGUCUAGGCCAGAAAUGUGUAAGGAGCCUGGAACAUAUUAUCACUCUGGAUAGCAAAUAAUCUAUCAAAGGUUAUUAGGAUGAUUUCAACAUGUCCGAAGGGCCAAUCUGAAGGGCCUCCUUCUAACCAAAGAUAGGACAUUUUGUACAUUAGUAAGGAUAAUAGUUGCAGUGAAUUGAGAUAUAUCAAAUAUGUUUGAAUAUCUGCAUUCAUAAUGAUCCUUUUGAAAAAAUAAAAGUGGGCUGGCACAGCUUCUCAUGCCUGUAAUUUCAACACUCUGGGAGGCUGAGUUAGGAGGAUCACUUCAUUCAGGAGUUCAAGACCAGCCUGUGCAACACAGGGGACUUUGUCUCAACAAAAGAUUUUUUAAAUUACUCAGGUUUGAGGGCCCGUGUCUUUGGUCUCAGCUACUCAGGAAGCUGAGAUGGGAGGGUCACCUGAGCCUAGAAGUUUGAGGCUAUAGUGGCAUGACUGCUUGUCUGCAUACCAACCUGGGCAACAAAGCUAGACCCUCCCUGUCUAAAUAAAUUAAUUAAUAGAAGUGGUCACCAUUGAAGGAUAUAAAUGAAACAGCCCAUGAUUUUAAAAAAUGGUAAAUAAGAAAUCAAGCCAUGAACUGGUGUUUUCUAUAUAAGUCGUACAAGUGAGUAACAGUUCAUAAGAAGCAGCAUCUUUUUUAUAUUUACUUUAUUUUUUUCUUAAUGCAAGGCUCUGCUUGGGGUAGCAGUGUCUCUUUCUUCAUGCACGGCCCUUCUUAGGGUAGCAGUAUCUCUUUGAAGGGUGGCAGCUCAUAAACGAAGAAGGAAUGAUACAACAAUGCCUUCAUUGUUCAAUCCGUAACUGAUCAAUGGCCAUUAACACCACCAAUUAAAAAAAAAAGAUCUCCAGAGUACACACCUCCUCCCAGAAGAAACUAGCGCAGCCUUUUUGCCCUGAAUCAAGUCCAGCCUGAAUCUCACCAAGUCUUGAGAUUAAACUACUAAUUUAUCAAAACUAGAACAAAGUGAAGAGCAAGUUAACCAACAUCACAAGAUACAAUUAGCAAAAUUCACAGUAUGAGAAACAGCAUAAUGAGAAUACACUUAGCAUAAUUCAAAGUGUGGGGAAAUGGCCUGAUUUAUUCAAUAAAUGGACUGCAAGGGACAGCACAGAGAUGAAAGUGGGAAGCUGUCAGGAUCAAAAAAACCCGAAGAGGUGAAUCACACAAUCCCAAAGAGAGACUUUAUUUGGAUCCUGAUUCAAACAAUAAAUACAUGAAAUGACUGAAAAUUUGGAGCUAGAAGGAGAGUUGACAGUGAUAAAGAGCAAUGGUGUGAGAUGGUUGAUGAUGGUAUUGGGAUUAUGUUUUUUAAUGAGUUCUUGUCUCCGGGCAUGGCGGUUCACACCUAUAAUCUCAGUAGUGUGGGAGGUCAAGGCGGGAAGAUCCUUUGAAUCCAGGAAUUGUAGACCAGCCCAGGCAACAUAGCAAGACCCUGUCUCUACUAAAAUACAAUAAAAAGAUGAGCUGGGCAUGGUGUGAGUCUGUAGUUGCAGCUACUCAGGAAGUUGAGGCAGGAGAGGCCACAGUGAACCAAGAUCAUGCCACUGAACUCCAGCCUGGGUGACAGAGACCUCAUGUUGAAAGAACAAACAAGAAUCGUAUCUUUUACAGACAUCCACCAAGACGGUCAGGGAGGAAAUUCUAUGAUGUGUGGGAUUUUUUAUAAAAUCACGAGAGGAAGAGGAGAAGCAUGUAGGAGUAUACAUG